UACGGAGGGUGCGAGCGUUGUCCGGAAUCAUUGGGCGUAAAGGGCGCGUAGGUGGCCCGGUCAGUUCGUGGUGAAAGCGCGGGGCUCAACUCCGCGUCGGCCAUGAAUACUGCUGGGCUGGAGCACUGUAGAGGCAGGCGGAAUUCCGGGUGUAGCGGUGGAAUGCGUAGAGAUCCGGAAGAACACCGGUGGCGAAGGCGGCAUCCUGGACCGGCAUUGACGCUGAGGAGCGAAAGCCAGGGGAGCAAACGGG
This 253-nucleotide ribosomal RNA is filed under the name uncultured bacterium. RNAcentral's name for it is "partial 16S ribosomal RNA". It matches the Rfam family "Bacterial small subunit ribosomal RNA", at positions 524 to 776 of the family's 1533-position model. The record is from RNAcentral.